RNAcentral lists this transfer RNA (67 nucleotides) under Coenobita rugosus. Its description in RNAcentral is "tRNA-Ala". It matches the Rfam family "tRNA". Rfam says of the family: Transfer RNA (tRNA) molecules are approximately 80 nucleotides in length. The record is from RNAcentral. Lineage: Eukaryota; Metazoa; Arthropoda; Malacostraca; Decapoda; Coenobitidae.
UAGGCUAUAGUUUAACAAGUAAAAUUUUUGAUUUGCAAUCAAGAGACGUCUAACAGGACUAGCUUAA